This 419-nucleotide ribosomal RNA is filed under the name uncultured bacterium. Its description in RNAcentral is "bacterial SSU rRNA". It matches the Rfam family "Bacterial small subunit ribosomal RNA", at positions 8 to 429 of the family's 1533-position model. The record is from RNAcentral.
AGAGUUUGAUCCUGGCUCAGAUUGAACGCUGGCGGCAUGCCUUACACAUGCAAGUCGAACGGCAGCACGGGGGCAACCCUGGUGGCGAGUGGCGAACGGGUGAGUAAUAUAUCGGAACGUACCCAGUAGUGGGGGAUAACUAUCCGAAAGGAUAGCUAAUACCGCAUACGAUCUGUGGAUGAAAGCAGGGGAUCUUCGGACCUUGUGCUAUUGGAAUGGCCGAUAUCUGAUUAGCUAGUUGGUAGGGUAAAAGCCUACCAAGGCGACGAUCAGUAGCUGGUCUGAGAGGACGACCAGCCACACUGGAACUGAGACACGGUCCAGACUCCUACGGGAGGCAGCAGUGGGGAAUUUUGGACAAUGGGGGCAACCCUGAUCCAGCAAUGCCGCGUGAGUGAAGAAGGCCCUCGGGUUGUAAA